This 492-nucleotide ribosomal RNA is filed under the name uncultured bacterium. RNAcentral describes it as "partial 16S ribosomal RNA". It matches the Rfam family "Bacterial small subunit ribosomal RNA", at positions 28 to 507 of the family's 1533-position model. The record is from RNAcentral.
GAUGAACGCUAGCUACAGGCUUAACACAUGCCAGUCGAGGGGAAACGGCAUCGAAAGCUUGCUUUUGAUGGGCGUCGACCGGCGCACGGGUGAGUAACGCGUAUCCAACCUGCCCAUCACUUGGGAAUAACCUUGCGAAAGUAAGACUAAUGCCCAAUGACAUCCCACGAAGGCAUCCGAAUGGGAUUAAAGAUUUAUCGGUGAUGGAUGGGGAUGCGUCUGAUUAGCUUGUUGGCGGGGUGACGGCCCACCAAGGCAACGAUCAGUAGGGGUUCUGAGAGGAAGGUCCCCCACAUGGGAACUGAGACACGGUCCAAACUCCUACGGGAGGCAGCAGUGAGGAAUAUUGGUCAAUGGGCGAGAGCCUGAACCAGCCAAGUAGCGUGCAGGAUGACGGCCCUAUGGGUGGUAAACUGCUUUUAUAAGGGAAUAAAGUGGGUCACGUGUGACUUUUUGCAUGUACCUUAUGAAUAAGGACCGGCUAAUUCCGUG